AUGGUGGCAGCACGGGAGGCCCCCGAGGUGCCAGUGCUGGGCUGGGGGUCCAGUCCCACUCUGUGGUUCCCCCGUUGCCGUGGUGAACAGGGGCUGGGGCUGGUUUGGGAAGGGGCCCUGGGGCAGGGGGAGUCAGCACAGACAAGGAGACUUCCACUGCUGAGGAAAGUGGGCUCAGCGUGGGCUGGUGGGACCAGCGGGACCCCUGGGGACAAUGGGACACUGGGAACAGCAGCUGUGGGUCCCUCUCGGGACACUGGUGCCGUUUUCUGGUCUGGAGAGGGGAAAACGCCCUGCAUGGGCUGGGCAGGAGGUGAGGGCAGCCGUGCAGGCAGUGGCAGUGGUUUAGGCAGCAAUAUGGGCAGGGUGCAGGCAGCACUGCAGGCAGAGGCACAGGCAGAGGCGCAGGCAGAGGUGCAGGCAGAGGCAGAGGCAGCAAUGCAGGCAAGGUCCAGGCAGAGGCACAGGCAGAGGUGCAGGCAGAGGCAGAGGCACAGGCAGAGGUGUAGGCAGAUGCACAGGCAGAGGCACAGGCAGAGGUGCAGGCAGAGGCAGAGGCACAGGCAGAGGUGUAGGCAGAUGCACAGGCAGAGGCACAGGCAGAGGUGCAGGCAGAGGCAGAGGCACAGGCAGAGGUGUAGGCAGAUGCACAGGCAGAGGCACAGGCAGAGGUGCAGGCAGAGGCAGAGGCACAGGCAGAGGUGUAGGCAGAUGCACAGGCAGAGGCACAGGCAGAGGUGCAGGCAGAGGCAGAGGCACAGGCAGAGGUGUAGGCAGAUGCACAGGCAGAGGCACAGGCAGAGGUGCAGGCAGAGGCAGAGGCACAGGCAGAGGUGUAGGCAGAUGCACAGGCAGAGGCACAGGCAGAGGUGCAGGCAGAGGCAGAGGCACAGGCAGAGGUGUAGGCAGAUGCACAGGCAGAGGCACAGGCAGAGGUGCAGGCAGAGGCAGAGGCACAGGCAGAGGUGUAGGCAGAUGCACAGGCAGAGGCACAGGCAGAGGUGCAGGCAGCAAUGCAGGCAAGGUCCAGGCAGGGGCACAGGCAGAGGUGCAGUUAGAGGUGUAGGCAGAGGU
Molecule: long non-coding RNA, 1074 nt
Filed under: Ficedula albicollis (Collared flycatcher)
Lineage: Eukaryota; Metazoa; Chordata; Aves; Passeriformes; Muscicapidae
Description: lncRNA (ENSFALG00000026517.1)
Source: RNAcentral